RNAcentral lists this ribosomal RNA (273 nucleotides) under uncultured bacterium. RNAcentral describes it as "partial 16S ribosomal RNA". It matches the Rfam family "Bacterial small subunit ribosomal RNA", at positions 523 to 796 of the family's 1533-position model. The record is from RNAcentral.
ACACGGAGGGUGCAAGCGUUGUUCGGAAUUACUGGGCGUAAAGGGCGCGUAGGCGGGCGGGAAAGUCUGGUGUGAAAGCCCGGGGCUCAACCCCGGAAGUGCACUGGAAACUUCUCGUCUUGAGUCCGGAAGAGGAGGGCAGAAUUCCCGGUGUAGGGGUGAAAUCCGUAGAUAUCGGGAGGAAACCAGUGGCGAAGGCGGCCCUCUGGGACGAGACUGACGCUGAGGCGCGAAAGCGUGGGGAGCAAACAGGAUUAGAAACCCCAGUAGUCC